This 253-nucleotide ribosomal RNA is filed under the name uncultured bacterium. Its description in RNAcentral is "partial 16S ribosomal RNA". It matches the Rfam family "Bacterial small subunit ribosomal RNA", at positions 524 to 776 of the family's 1533-position model. The record is from RNAcentral.
UACGGAAGGGGCUAGCGUUGUUCGGAAUUACUGGGCGUAAAGCGCGCGUAGGCGGCUUAGCAAGUUGGGGGUGAAAUCCCGGGGCUCAACCCGGGAACUGCCUUCAAGACUGGAAAGCUCGAGGAUGUAAGAGGGUAGCGGAAUUCCCAGUGUAGAGGUGAAAUUCGUAGAUAUUGGGAAGAACACCUGUGGCGAAGGCGGCUAACUGGUGCAUUACUGACGCUGAGGUGCGAAAGCGUGGGGAGCAAACAGG